This is a small nucleolar RNA of Hyla sarda, 134 nucleotides long. RefSeq annotates it as small nucleolar RNA SNORA70. Lineage: Eukaryota; Metazoa; Chordata; Amphibia; Anura; Hylidae. The record is from RefSeq and is a predicted model, not a curated record. The transcript has a single exon.
UCGCAGCUUAUUAAGCCGACCAGCUUUUGCUUUGAUCUGAAGUUGGUGUGCAAAGGCUGCGUACAGUAAGUCCUUGGUUUGUGUAUGUGCUUUGUCUCUCGUACAAAGCGCUCAAAGGGACCUCGGAGACACGC